UAUUAUUUUAGCGGCGGACGGGUGAGUAACGUGUGGGUAACCUGCUUUACUGGGGAAUAAUCGUUGGAAACGACGACUAAUACCGCAUACGGUUCUUGGAAGGCAUCUUCUAAGAAAGAAAGGAUUUAUUCGGUAAAAGAUGGGCCCGCAUCUGAUUAGCUAGUUGGUGAGAUAAUAGCCCACCAAGGCAACGAUCAGUAGCCGACCUGAGAGGGUGACCGGCCACAUUGGGACUGAGACACGGCCCAAACUCCUACGGGAGGCAGCAG
RNAcentral lists this ribosomal RNA (269 nucleotides) under uncultured bacterium. RNAcentral describes it as "partial 16S ribosomal RNA". It matches the Rfam family "Bacterial small subunit ribosomal RNA", at positions 85 to 354 of the family's 1533-position model. The record is from RNAcentral.